This 434-nucleotide ribosomal RNA is filed under the name uncultured Lachnospiraceae bacterium. Its description in RNAcentral is "partial 16S ribosomal RNA". It matches the Rfam family "Bacterial small subunit ribosomal RNA", at positions 341 to 792 of the family's 1533-position model. The record is from RNAcentral. Lineage: Bacteria; Bacillati; Bacillota; Clostridia; Lachnospirales; Lachnospiraceae.
ACGGGAGGCAGCAGUGGGGAAUAUUGCACAAUGGGCGAAAGCCUGAUGCAGCGACGCCGCGUGAGUGAUGAAGUAUUUCGGUAUGUAAAGCUCUAUCAGCAGGGAAGAUAAUGACGGUACCUGACUAAGAAGCACCGGCUAAAUACGUGCCAGCAGCCGCGGUAAUACGUAUGGUGCAAGCGUUAUCCGGAUUUACUGGGUGUAAAGGGAGCGCAGGCGGUACGGCAAGUCUGAUGUGAAAGCCCGGGGCGCAACCCCGGUACUGCAUUGGAAACUGUCGAACUAGAGUGUCGGAGGGGUAAGUGGAAUUCCUAGUGUAGCGGUGAAAUGCGUAGAUAUUAGGAGGAACACCAGUGGCGAAGGCGACUUACUGGACGAUAACUGACGCUGAGGCUCGAAAGCGUGGGGAGCAAACAGGAUUAGAUACCCUGGUA